This 403-nucleotide long non-coding RNA is filed under the name Xyrichtys novacula (pearly razorfish). Lineage: Eukaryota; Metazoa; Chordata; Actinopteri; Labriformes; Labridae. The record is from RNAcentral.
GUCCCGGGUGAAAGCGAGAAGACUGACACAACAGUAGACUGAGUGUUUUUCAGUUCUGAUUAGACUCUAGUGUUGAGAUGUCUGUCUGUCAUGAUAGCAUGUACUGAGUCGGGGCCAGAACCAGAUAAGAACAUUAAACUAUAAUCCAUAAACGUAAGGUAACAACCGAGACCGAUUGAGUUUGAGACAAUGAAAAAAUGCAUAUGUUAUGUUGUAUCUGAACAGGUUAGCUUACGAGCUAAAGUUACUUAGCACAGAUGAAAGUUUAAACAAAGACGUUUAUCAAACUGUUAAAGCACACAAACCAUCGUCAUAUGAGAAAUCCGACGCUAUGACUCUCCACAAGUUGUCCUUCAGGUCAUUAUCUCUGACAUGUAAACAAUCAGCCGGUCGGCCAUGUUGG